CACAGGUGGUAUUGCGUUUCAAUUAUUAAUUGGGCAUUAAGUGUGAUUAGGUGGCCCAUAGUGGCUAGAGUUCUAAAAGGAGAAGUAGAGGAAUAACCCAAUGAAGGAUGAAAUCUACAGAUAUGGGUUGGAACAUCGAUAGCUACAGGCAUCACUCUAUUUUAUAACUGACACUGAAUCACUAAAGUGUGGGGAGCAAAACGG
Molecule: ribosomal RNA, 204 nt
Filed under: uncultured bacterium
Lineage: Bacteria
Description: partial 16S ribosomal RNA
Rfam family: Bacterial small subunit ribosomal RNA (bases 25-204)
Source: RNAcentral